AUGCCCCCAAUUUUUUUUUACAGCGUUCCUGGGCUGGGCUGCCGGUGGUGCACUGAUAUGUGCGGCUCAGACGCCCUCUCCCAGCGCAGCGGCCGCUCCAUGCAAUUAUUAUCAUUGCCGGCGGGGGCGCUGGCGGCUGGGCAGAGCUCCACAGCUCCGCUUAAAGCACGUGGCACGUGGCUCCGCUUAAAGAGCCCGGCGACAGGUGUAGCAGCAGGGCUUCGUGAGGAAACGGGCGGCAGCCUCCUGGCUCAGCCUCUACGGUCAGCCCCAGCGGGGGGGCACAGAAAACAAAAGAGCCUCAGGCAGCGGUCCAGUGGAGGAAGAAAGAGGACCCCGACGCCCAUGCGUUGGGCAAGUUGAUGCAGCCUCAUGGCGGAUAAAAAAAAAUUGUCUGGGUCACAAUUUCGUAAGCGGAAGGCUGAUAAGCAAAAAGAAGAAAGAAAGCAAGAAGGUUCGUUUCUGAAAUAUCUCCAUCCACUGGCCAGAGAUGAGGGUAGUUCAAUGCCAAAGGAUCAAGCAGAGAUGGAGAUGGGGAUGUGAGCUUCACAAGUUGAAGAAGAGUUUGAAGAAUGUAAUCUGAAUAUUGAAGACGAAUCAAAUGAGACAUGCAAGGAUCAAAACUUGGAAGACCGUGAAAGCGAAAAUGUCACUCGUUUGAAUUUGAGCUUUAGUGAUUCUGCUACUUGGGCCAAAUGCAAUGAUCAAGUCCGACAAAUUCUGGUGGAUCAUGGGCCGGAACAAGUUCAGCAGUUCGAUUUUCCCAAAGAUAGUAAGCAAAGAAAAUUCUUGACAAUUCAUUACAAACGUAGACCUGUUAAUGGAGAAGAAAUGCACCGUCAGUGGCUGCAGUAUUCCACAUCAAGUGAUUCUGUCUUUUGCUUCUGCUGCAAGUUGUUUGGCAGUAGUACUAUUGACACAUCAUCUCUUUCUGAAAAAGGCACAAGGGAAAAACAUGUCUGCAAUUCUUUCACGGCACAAGAAAAGCAGUGAACAUUUGACGAAUGUUCAAACAUGGAAGGAACUUGAACUGCAAUUGAAAUACAAGAGAACAUUUGAUUAAGAACAUUUGCGCUUGAUUAAGCAAGAAGAAAAGUAUUGGCAGCAAAUACUAAAACGUCUGAUUGCUUUGGUCAGAGUUCUUGGUGUGCAAAACCUGGCCUUUCAGGGAACACAUGAAAAACUGCACACUUCUGGUAAUGGGAACUUCCUCAAAUUGGUCGAAUAUCUAGCUUUGUUUGACCCACUUAUGGAUGAGCAUCUUCACAGGAUUAAGGACCAGGAGAUGCAUGUACAUUAGCUAGGGAAAGACAUACAGAAUGAGCUUAUUCAGCUUCUAGCCAAUGCCAUCAAACAAAAAAUC
RNAcentral lists this long non-coding RNA (1363 nucleotides) under Chrysemys picta bellii (western painted turtle). RNAcentral describes it as "lncRNA (ENSCPBG00000021955.1)". Lineage: Eukaryota; Metazoa; Chordata; Testudines; Emydidae. The record is from RNAcentral.